This 710-nucleotide unclassified non-coding RNA is filed under the name Hevea brasiliensis (rubber tree). Lineage: Eukaryota; Viridiplantae; Streptophyta; Magnoliopsida; Malpighiales; Euphorbiaceae. The record is from RNAcentral.
CGAUUCUGAUCCCGGAAUUGUUGAGGUGAAUUUGGAUAGGCCGGGAGCGAAAAAUGCCAUCGGGAAGGAAAUGCUGAGAGGAUUACGGGCAACUUUUGAAACAAUCAGUAGGGAUGACUCUGCUAAUGUUGUUAUGAUAUGCAGCUCGGUUCCCAAAGUGUUCUGUGCAGGAGCUGAUCUGAAGGAGCGUAAGACAAUGACUCCAUCUGAAGUGCAAUUUUUUGUCAACACACUGCGAUCCACAUUCUCACUUAUAGAGGAACUUUGUAUUCCUACAAUUGCUGUUAUUGAAGGAACAGCCUUGGGUGGUGGACUUGAAAUGGCUUUAUCAUGUGAUCUUCGGAUAUGUGGUGGGACACAAAGACUUCCUAGAUUGGUAGGAAAAUCAGUGGCAAAGGAACUUAUAUUUACUGGUCGGAAGAUUGGUGGCAGGGAGGCCAUGUCAAUUGGCCUUGUGAAUUACUCUGUGCCUGCUGGUGAAGCUCGUUUAAAGGCACUUGAAGUUGCUCGGGAAAUUAAUCAGAAGGGUCCUAUAGCAAUAAGACUGGCAAAAAAGGCUAUUAAUGAGGGGCUAGGGAUAGAUUUGGCAUCUGCUUUGGAAUUGGAAGAAGAGUGUUAUGAACAGCUGUUGAACACAAAAGAUCGCUUGGAAGGUUUGGCAGCAUUUGCUGAAAAGCGGAAACCAAGGUAUACUGGAGAGUAAACAGGAC